AUCGCUUCUCGGCCUUUUGGCUAAGAUCAAGUGUAGUAUCUGUUCUUAUCAGUUUAAAAACUUGAUACAGCAUUACAUGUAUUAUAAUAGAAGGGUCAGGGUGUUCAUAAGAUUGACAUAAGAAAGUUGAAGUAUUUAGGUCCCCAUGUGGUAGUUAAAAUUUGCAACAUUUCAUAUUAUGAUAAAGCUC
Molecule: small nuclear RNA, 190 nt
Organism: Molossus molossus (Pallas's mastiff bat)
Lineage: Eukaryota; Metazoa; Chordata; Mammalia; Chiroptera; Molossidae
Product: U2 spliceosomal RNA
Exons: 1
Source: RefSeq, a predicted model, not a curated record